RNAcentral lists this ribosomal RNA (464 nucleotides) under uncultured bacterium. RNAcentral describes it as "partial 16S ribosomal RNA". It matches the Rfam family "Bacterial small subunit ribosomal RNA", at positions 339 to 795 of the family's 1533-position model. The record is from RNAcentral.
CUACGGGGGGCUGCAGUGGGGAAUAUUGCACAAUGGGCGCAAGCCUGAUGCAGCCAUGCCGCGUGUAUGAAGAAGGCCUUCGGGUUGUAAAGUACUUUCAGCGGGGAGGAAGGGAGUAAAGUUAAUACCUUUGCUCAUUGACGUUACCCGCAGAAGAAGCACCGGCUAACUCCGUGCCAGCAGUCGCGGUAAUACGGAGGGUGCAAGCGUUAAUCGGAAUUACUGGGUGUAAAGCGCACGCAGGCGGUUUGUUAAGUCAGAUGUGAAAUCCCCGGGCUCAACCUGGGAACUGCAUCUGAUACUGGCAAGCUUGAGUCUCGUAGAGGGGGGUAGAAUUCCAGGUGUAGCGGUGAAAUGCGUAGAGAUCUGGAGGAAUACCGGUGGCGAAGGCGGCCCCCUGGACGAAGACUGACGCUCAGGUGCGAAAGCGUGGGGAGCAAACAGGAUUAGAUACCCGUGUAGUC